RNAcentral lists this ribosomal RNA (468 nucleotides) under uncultured bacterium. RNAcentral describes it as "partial 16S ribosomal RNA". It matches the Rfam family "Bacterial small subunit ribosomal RNA", at positions 28 to 507 of the family's 1533-position model. The record is from RNAcentral.
GACGAACGCUGGCGGCGUGCUUAACACAUGCAAGUCGAACGGAAAGGCCCUGCUUUUGUGGGGUGCUCGAGUGGCGAACGGGUGAGUAACACGUGAGUAACCUGCCCUUGACUUUGGGAUAACUUCAGGAAACUGGGGCUAAUACCGGAUAGGAGCUCCUGCUGCAUGGUGGGGGGUGGAAAGUUUCGGCGGUUGGGGAUGGAUUCGCGGCUUAUCAGCUUGUUGGUGGGGUAGUGGCUUACCAAGGCUUUGACGGGUAGCCGGCCUGAGAGGGUGACCGGCCACAAUGGGACUGAGAUACGGCCCAGACUCCUACGGGAGGCAGCAGUGGGGAAUAUUGCACAAUGGGAGGAAGCCUGAUGCAGCAACGCCGCAUGCGGGAUGACGGCCUUCGGGUUGUAAACCGCUUUCGCCUGUGACGAAGCGUGAGUGACGGUAAUGGGUAAAGAAGCACCGGCUAACUACGUG